UACGAAGGGGGCUAGCGUUGCUCGGAAUUACUGGGCGUAAAGGGCGCGUAGGCGGAUAUGUUUAGUCAGAGGUAAAAGCCCAGGGCUCAACCUUGGAACUGCCUUUGAUACUGGCUAUCUUGAGUUCGGGAGAGGUGAGUGGAAUGCCGAGUGUAGAGGUGAAAUUCGUAGAUAUUCGGCGGAACACCAGUGGCGAAGGCGACUCACUGGCCCGAUACUGACGCUGAGGCGCGAAAGCGUGGGGAGCAAACAGG
RNAcentral lists this ribosomal RNA (254 nucleotides) under uncultured bacterium. Its description in RNAcentral is "partial 16S ribosomal RNA". It matches the Rfam family "Bacterial small subunit ribosomal RNA", at positions 524 to 776 of the family's 1533-position model. The record is from RNAcentral.